AGAAAGGAAACUUCCCCACUAAGGCAGCCGUCAUCUCCUCCCCUGCAUCCCAAAUCCAGUAGUCCACCCAACCGUCUCCUCCCACCACAAAUCCUUCGACUUCGCCGCCCUUACGACACCAGAGAGAACCCCGUUGCCUCCGUCGAUCUGCCAGACAUGUCCAAGGAGAGGGAGAGGAGGCCAGGAGGGGUCGCGUUUGGACGCGAGGAGGGGGAGCAGCCAACCGCGCCCGGCCGGCGAGUACGGCGCCGCUGCAUCAUGCCUGCAUGGCCCGAUGGCGCCCGUCGUCGUCCAGGAGCAACACAAACAGCUGGUGAUGGAUCUCUCAUCAACGGCCGCCGACCACCUCUCAAAGAUAAGUUUCUCGUCUACGUUGUCGUCACCUCGGUGGUUGAUUCAUGGGAAACGUUGCCAAGCGCUGGUGAGGACAAGUUGUGAGUUGCGAUGAUGGUUGUCACUAAGAGACUCGAGAGUCAAUUACAACAUCAAGUUUAGAGAGUAAAAAGAAGUAAGCAGCAAGGGAAGUGGGCGUCUCUAAAGAAUUCUAGAUGGCGGUGAGAUUAUUUGGGUCAAUAAUGUGGAAUUUCUAUGUGUACGCUGCACCUGCACUAACUUGCUUCCAUUAACACACCCUUUUGCUGCUUGUGGGAGGGAAGUAAUUACAACAGCAACUUGUGACUGUAUCUAAUCUCGCAGUCGAUUAUUUGCUGAUGUCUCCGCCCUAUGGUUUCCAGGUUUCUUCUCACCCAGCAGCUUCCACAAAGUAGAGUAUAUCGCAACUUCGGAAACUUACUGAAGAUGAUAGCUCUGAUGUUAAUAUCCAGGAUGAUGCAAUAAGCUCUUUUGACAAUUUAUCAGAAGAAAGAGCCGAAGAAAAUGGAGGAUUCUAAAAUGACUCAAAUAGAACUACAAAAUAUCUAUGCCACAAAGGUAGGUAUGUUCAAGGAAAUAAUACGAUGCAUUAUAUUUUGCCUAUAUGCCUAAGUAUACUGACAUGACGGUAAGCGAUAUGAUAUUGUUGAACAGUGAACGCCAAUCCAAAAAAAACUUCAGAACAAUCUGUAUGCAUUAGUUGAGCUGGUAUCUAGCUUUGCUAUUUUUAUGCAAGGUGCUGAAGUUCAAUAACAUUCAUGAUAAUCCCCAGCUUCAGUAUCCAGCAAAAGAGAAGUUACAUUACAAAUUCACAACUCAGCUGCGCAGCUGCAAGUCGAUAUAUGAUAUCAAUAUUUUCAGUUCCUCUUAUAUGCUAAUUUAGUUCCUUUUGAUCUAGAAAAGAUUUUGGUGUUUUUGUUCUAGAAAGACUGAACAGACGGAGGAGCCACUCUAAUCAUAAAUAUUUUUGGAUUAUGAUUAGGGCUAGGGGAAGGUCAUACCAACAACACAUCUUUAUUCCCUUGAUGUCCCAUAAUAGGAAAUAAAACUCUUGUUUACACUUGAUAUUUGGUUAAGCUUAAAUACAAUCUAAUCUCCCAUGUGUUGGGACUUGGAGCUGCGACUAUAUUUUUUAUGAAUUUAAGGACCAGUUGACGAAGAUAGUCCAAAUCCAGUUGGAUAAUCACUUCAUGUUUGGACUCUUGAGUGAAUUUGUUUUAGAAGGUUAGGAGCAGAGGGAUACAGUUCUAAGAUUAAAUUGACCAUUUUUUCUACGAGUGUACUAUUUAUACGCUCAUACCACAGAGUAAUUGCUAUUUAUUUCCUUAACUUAUUACCACAUGCCUCCUAACCAGUCAACGAUCAGAUAUUUAGCUCCAUUGCUAAUAGUAAGAAAUGUGUUGUCCAACAAUAUGAAGAGGUUCCCUUUCCAGCUUAUCUAAUGGUACCGACAUCCGCCGUAAGUGAAUUUGAUUGCUCUACUAAGUCCCGUCUAUUAGAUUUCUUGUUUAUUUUUACAUGGUUUAGUUACUUUCAGAAGCACAAAUACUCAGACUAUUUGAUUUCUUUGUGGCUGAGUUGGAAAGUUUUGUUGAAACUGAAGGAGACGAUUUCCACUUGCCCGCAGGCAGACAUAGGGAUCUAGGUUUCACCUUUUCUUUCCAAGUACACCGAACCUUGAUAUCGCCUAUGUUCCUCCACCAUUAGGUUUUGUUGUAAAGAAAAUUUUAACUCCCACGCUUGCUGGGAAAAACAUAGAAAUCAAAAAGUUCCUCGACACCGGAUGUUCAUAUACAUGAGUCAAAACAAGUAACAAACAAGUCAGUCCAAUGUAAAAAUCCAACGUAGCACCAAACAAGUCGUCUAAUGUACAGAUCAAACAUGGUAACACAUAUGAUCGCUACCCUAGUGGAGCGGGCCAAGCUGGAUGGUCAAAUUAGCGGGGUCAUUCCACACUUGGUAGAAAAUGGUCCAUCCAUUCUACAAUAUGCGGAUGACACGAUUCUAUUUAUGGAUCAUGAUCUAGAUAAAGCAAGAAAUCUCAAGCUGCUCUUAUGUGCCUUUGAGGAACUUUCUGGUCUCAAAAUUAAUUUUCAUAAGUGAACUUUUUUGCUUUGGAGAUGCUGCGGAAUCUGCACCCGAGUAUGCUGAGAUUUUUGGAUGCCAGCUCGGGUGGUUUCCGAUUAGGUAUCUGGUCCCCAUACACUAUCGGCGUUUAACUAUCGCUGAGUGGAAGCAUGUGCAAGAAAGACUUGAGAAACGUUUAGCCAGUUGGAAGGCCAAACUCUUGUCUUAUGGGGGCGGUUGAUCUUGAUCAAUUCCGUCCUAAGCAACAUGAUUUUAUACAUGUUGUCAUUCUUCCACCUGUCGAAAGGGGUUCUACAGCGUCUAGAUUACUUUAGAUCCAGAUUUUUUUGGCAGUGUGAUAACGAAACCAAGAAAUAUAGACUGGCUAGAUGGAGCAUAUUAUGCAGACCUAAAAACCAAGGGGGCCUGGGAAUCCAAGACCUUGAGAUUAAAAAUAUCGCUCUUCUCAGCAAGUGGGUCUAUAAACUACUCACCGAGAAUGGAGUAUGGCAAGAAAUCAUUCGCAACAAGUAUGUGGGAUCCAAUGCCAUUUCUCAAAUUCAUUGGAAACCUGGUGAUUCACAUUUUUGGAGUGGUGUCAUGAAGGCCAAGGAAUUCUUCUUCCAAUUUGGGACCUUCUUGGUUAGGGACGGUGGUCAGGUUCGUUUCUGGGAAGAUACCUGGUUAGGGAACACUCCACUAAUGGUGCAAUAUCCGAGCUUGUACCGGAUCGUCAGACAUAUUUUUUUCAUGAUCUAACAAGUCUUAGGACAGGAAAACCCCGAUAUUUCUUUCCGUAGGGAUCUUUUGGGCACUCAUCUGACAGCAUGGAAUGAAUUACUCACUCGCCUGGAGGACAUUCAACUGUCAGAUGAACCGGACACUUUUUGAUGGGACUUGCAUCAGAAUGGCAAAUUUUCGAUCAAAUCCAUGUAUGAUGCAAUGGUUCAUUCUGAUGUUCCAGUAGAUAACAGGACAUUGUGGAAGCUAAAAUUCCCCUAAGAGUGAAGAGUUUCCUCUGGUUUCUUAACAAAGGAGUCAUCCUAACUAGAGAUAAUCUGGCACGACGAAACUGGCAUGAUUCCAAGACAUGUGUCUUUUGCCAACAUGACGAGUCUAUCAAACACCUAUUUUUUGAGUGCAAGUUCGCUCGAGCAGUUUGGGCUAUGGUCCAAGUAGCUUCGAAUUUAUACCCACCACGUAGUGUACAGAAUAUGUUCGGCAACUAGUUGCGAGGUAUAGAUAAACAAUUUUCUGCACAUAUUCUUGUGGGAGCGGCGGCCUUAUACUGGGCAAUGUGGCUUACCAGGAAUGAUGUGGUUUUUAACAAUAAA
This is a non-coding RNA of Triticum urartu, 3773 nucleotides long. The record is from RefSeq and is a predicted model, not a curated record. NCBI's taxonomy places the organism in Eukaryota, Viridiplantae, Streptophyta, Magnoliopsida, Poales, Poaceae.